GUGCUUACUUCUGUAGAACACACAAUAAAAUCAGAACAAUACAGAGAAGACCAGAGCAGCCCCUGCACACCAAGAUGUCCUGAAAAUCUGCGAAGCAGUCCGUAUUUUU
Molecule: small nuclear RNA, 109 nt
Organism: Fukomys damarensis (Damara mole-rat)
Lineage: Eukaryota; Metazoa; Chordata; Mammalia; Rodentia; Bathyergidae
Source: Ensembl